Long non-coding RNA from Acanthopagrus latus (yellowfin seabream), 614 nucleotides. RefSeq lists it as uncharacterized. The record is from RefSeq and is a predicted model, not a curated record. NCBI's taxonomy places the organism in Eukaryota, Metazoa, Chordata, Actinopteri, Spariformes, Sparidae. The transcript has 4 exons.
UCCCCGUCUCUCUCUCUCUGGAUCUCCCCUCUGCGCCCACUUCUAUCAACAGCCGUAUUCAAUUCCCCUGAAGCACAUGAAAUCAAAUUUGCACACAUUUUUGAGCUUUUUGCCCUCGUUGAUUUGUUUUAUAUAUAUAUAUUUAUAUUUUUUUUUUCAGUGCGGGACGAAUUAUGUUUGCUUUUUGGAGAAUAAUCUGAACCCAAUUACUUUUUUGUACUUUCAGUUUGUUUGGUUACACUCGACUGUCGGGAAUCAUUUGAUGUCGUCUGUUUACGGCUCUGCAAUGUGCAAUCUUCCUCCAGCUGUUCUGCGGCGUGCGUCUGGGUGAAGAUGGCAGCGUAUAGAGAGAUAACAAGGUUGCCAGUAAUUACCCACAGUCCUCUCCUGAUUCACUCAGACGUACUUUCAACAAGAGGAGAACAGUCACCUCCUGUCAGCUUCUUGCAGGGAAUCGAUGCUACUAGCGAAGUAUCGUCUGCCGAACCAGAGCCUGAUAACCUGAAGCAUCUUCUUCCCCGAGAGCCAUACGGCGCUAACAGUGGACAAAAAUGAUUUCUUACAACAAUUAGACACACUGGUGCUCCGGCUCAUCAUGAAUCAUCAUCAUCAUU